This 719-nucleotide long non-coding RNA is filed under the name Ursus maritimus (polar bear). RNAcentral describes it as "lncRNA (ENSUMAG00000007130.1)". Lineage: Eukaryota; Metazoa; Chordata; Mammalia; Carnivora; Ursidae. The record is from RNAcentral.
UCUGCUGACCCCAAGUGAUACUGUGUUUCUGAAAUCCCUGAAUCACAGUGACUUCAGUGAGAAAAGUUUAUUUCUCUCAAACAAAUGCAGCCCUGAGAUAAAACCUCGAGGGCUGGUGGAGAGGCUUCACAGCCGUCAGGAGCCAGGCUCCUUCCAACUUCUUGUUCCUCUCACGGUCCAACAGAGCUGCCAGUGCUCCGGUUAUCAUGCUUGCGUUCCAGAAGGGGGAAGGGGAUGCUGAAGCGCGCACCCACCUGCUGCUCCCGCUCACGUGCCGAACUCCAGAGAAUGUCCACACCUCACUGCCCGGUGAACUGGGAAACAGGCCUGGAUUCUGUGUGGCCACGCCUCAGCUAAACAUCAGGGGCCUCACGGCAAGAAGCACAGACCUGCCACCAGUCUGUCCCCAUCGUACCACGAGAGGACACUGGUCCGCAUGGUGUCGCAGCAUGGAAGCAGCAGAACAGAUCCCCUGGGCUCUGGGGUCCGGGGUCUGGCUGCUCCCCGAGGCUGGAAACAGUGCCUGGCGCCUGAGUGUGAUGGAGCAGAUGACCUGGUAAAGGGGGGGGGGUGGAGGGAGGGCUGUCCUGCUCCUGGGCCCCACCGCUCUCCAGCAAGAGCUGCUGGGGACAGUGCCACCCCUCCCUCUGCAGGCAGCCCCUGGUGGGGAGCCUUUGUCCCAAAAUAAAAGGGUGUGGGGACCGGAAGUGUGGCUCCCU